Molecule: long non-coding RNA, 2324 nt
Filed under: Lathyrus oleraceus (garden pea)
Lineage: Eukaryota; Viridiplantae; Streptophyta; Magnoliopsida; Fabales; Fabaceae
Description: Pisum sativum (pea) long non-coding RNA (PSAT_LNC021260)
Source: RNAcentral
UUUAGUUAACACUAACCUGAUGGGACAAAUUGAUCAUAUGGGUAUCAAAUUCAGAGGGAAAGCUCAGAGACAAAAAUUCGAAAAGCUAGCAGAGAGAGAGAUGCACCCAAGUUUCUAUGCUGAUGAUUGGGCAAUGACUGCCCUUGGACUAAGAGAGAGUGUCAUGUAUCUGCUGAGUCAAAUAGGGUGGGAAACCACUCCUAUUCGAUGAUAAUUUGUCACUUACCGGAGACUAACUCUUGAAUUCCUUAGCUCCAUGAUCUAUCUACCAAACCAUGGAAAAGGAAUAAGCCGAGGUUUCAUUCAGUUCAGGAUGUUCAAUAUGGAGUAUCAAUUUAACAUUCAAGACUUUACUAACCUUUUAGGGUUCCCUACCUCUUUUGAUAUCUUGUUGUUACAAGAAUUUGAUUUGGAAAUCAAAGAUAAAAAAGGAACUGAAAACGUAGUAGCAGAUCACCUUUCUAGACUUGAAAACCUGGAACCGGAAAGAACAUCGAUCAAUGAUGACUUCUUGUACGAUAAACUUAUAGCUAAUUUGGAAGAAAAUAGAGCUGAUGAACAAAUAGAGACCACCUUGGUUGUAUGCGUUACACCAUGGUACGCCGACUUUGUCAAUUAUUUAGCCGCCAGAAUAGUUCCACUUAAUUUAUCCUACCAGCAAAAGAAACGAUUCUUCCAUGACAUGAAACAUUAUUAUUGGGACGACCCUUUACUUUUCAAAAGAGGCCCCGAUGGUAUUUUUCGUCGGUGUAUACCUGAAGAAGAGAUAGAAAGUAUAAUCCAACAUAGUCAUUCCGCUCCUUAUGGUGGACACGCAAGUACAUCCAAGACCUGCUCUAAAAUCCUACAAGCCGGCCUUUAUUGGCCAAACAUAUGGAAGGAUGUGCAUGCUGCUGUCAAGAAAUGUGAUAGAUGUCAACGCACAGGAAACAUAUCUAGACGUGACGAGAUGCCACAAAAGGGCAUUUUGGAAGUAGAGAUUUUCGACGUGUGGGGAAUAGAUUUCAUGGGACCUUUUCCACCUUCUUUCGGUAACAAGUACAUACUCGUAGCGGUUGACUACGUAUCAAAAUGGAUUGAAGCUAUAGCUUCUCCAACAAACGACACACGAGUAGUAACUAGACUCUUUAAGAAUAUAAUCUUUCCAAGAUUUGGUGUCCCAAGGAUAGUAGUCAGUGAUGGUGGAUCGCAUUUCAUAUCUAAGAUACUCGAAAAACUAUUGUUUAAGUAUGGUGUAAAACAUCGAGUAGCGACACCUUACCAUCCUCAAACCAGUGGACAAGUGGAAGUGUCUAACAGAGAAAUUAAACAGAUAUUGGAAAAAACAGUCGCCACGUCAAGAAAAGACUGGUCAUCAAAAUUACCUGAAGCUUUAUGGGCUUAUCGAACUGCUUACAAAACUCCCAUAGGAACAACCCCAUUUAGGCUUAUUUACGGAAAAUCUUGCCACCUCCCGGUAGAAUUAGAACAUAAGGCCUAUUGGGCUAUUAAAAAUUUAAAUUUAAACUAUAAGGCCGCCGGUGAAAAGCGAAUCCUUGAUAUAAACGAAUUAGAAGAACUUAGACAAGACGCAUACGAAAAUGCCAGAAUCUACAAGGAAAGAACGAAAAAAUGGCAUGAUAAGCGUAUAUCAAGGAAAACUUUCAAACAAGGCGAUGUAGUCCUAUUGUUUAACUCUAGACUUAAGUUAUUCCCAGGAAAACUACGCUCUAGAUGGUCAGGCCCUUUCCAAGUCACUAAUGUUUUCCCUAGUGGAGCUGUGGAAAUUAAGGGAAAAUCUAUGGAAACAUUUAUCGUAAACGGGCAGCGUCUGAAACAUUAUCACUAUGAUGAAAACAAUGAAGACUCGCAAGUCCUGAAAUUAGACGUAUUGUCUCCUAAAUCUAUAGAUUAACAUUUACUAGUUUUAUGUCGAGCUUGCGACAUUAAACAAAGCGCUUCGUGGGAGACAACCCACAAAUUUUUACUAUCUUUUCUUUGAUUAUUCUUUUGAUUUUAUUUAGUAUUCAUUCUUCAUUUAUUUUAUUUUAUAAAACUUUUCUUCUUUUCUUCUUUCGGCAUCUGGCCAAAUCCUGACUAAAUUCUUGUUUUUCUUUUCUUUAGUUAACACUAACCUGAUGGGACAAAUUGAUCGUAUGGGUAUCAAAUUCAGAGGGAAAGCUCAGAGACAAAAAUUCGAAGAACUAGCAGAGAGAGAGAUGCACCCAAGUUUCUAUGCUGAUGAUUGGGCAAUGACUGCCCUUGGACUAAGAGAGAGUGUCCUGUAUCUGCUGAGUCAAAUAGGGUGGGAAACCACACCUAUUCGAAGACAAUUUGUUACUUAC